Felis catus (domestic cat) is the source of this 1033-nucleotide long non-coding RNA. RefSeq lists it as uncharacterized. Lineage: Eukaryota; Metazoa; Chordata; Mammalia; Carnivora; Felidae. The transcript is spliced from 4 exons. The record is from RefSeq and is a predicted model, not a curated record.
CCAGUAGAUUUUUUUUUUCCCCAAUAGAUCUUAAGACUCGAGAAUAAUCAUCUUUGGUUCAGUUGUUUGACUUCCAGGCCCACUGGGGCGGCAGUCUCACCAGCAUGGCUUUGAGACAGUGGCCCCACCUCACCUCAUCUCUGCAGCAUAGCCUGGCUACUGACACCAAGGAAGUGGGCCCACCCUAUGAAAUUAAGAAGAAAGAAGCCUUUUGUACACAUGGACUUGUGGAUGCUGCAGUCUGAAAAGAGUAGAAAAGAAUAACUUUACAUUGGAGAAGCCUAACAAGCACUACUUCAGCCAGGUGAUCAAAGUUGACAUCAAUCGUGAUAAGUCAUACUUUGAAAAUAGCAGCUUCUGAAAACAGAGGAACAGUACUCUGACCUAUUUAUUGAAUGACAAAGAAGUCUAGCUUCGACUGGAGCCCAGAAGAGGAAUUGUUGUCAGAUACCACCCUAAAAGCUUUGUGAUGGACUGAACUUGAGUGUAACCUAGUGGUGCUAACUAUGAACAGAAUCAAGAGACUCUUAUACCUUCCCUCACAUCUUCCUGGCUGCCCUGCUUUCAUUCCAGCCAUUCUGGGGCAACCAGCACAGAGCAGAUACAACCUGACAGCGCCUUGACCCAGCUACACCUCCUGCCUCUUGCUUUCUCACUCAGACCUCUCUAACUAAACCUUGAAGGACUCCAUGCAGUAGUGGUCUGAGACUUCAGAUGAUCAGAUCUGCCAGAUUCUGUGUAAAAUAGAAUCAGGAAGAGCUAAAUGGUGUCCUGAGGCUCCUUCCUGGUUAAUUGAGUAAUUGAUUUUGAAAUGCAAUUUGAUGUUGAUACACAAUAAUUUCAGCACCCAGGUGCUUUUUCAGCAACAACUUCAGCUAAUCAGAAACUAUUUUAGUUAAAACUAAUGUUUUCCAUAUUUUGAGCCAAUGAUGGAGUGGGAAGUGUUAAAGGAAUAUAGCUUAACUAAAGACCAUUAUGCUUUGCAUAUAUAGAUACUACAAGUUUUAAAAAAAUUUUUAAUGUUUAUUUAUUU